This 1017-nucleotide long non-coding RNA is filed under the name Junco hyemalis (dark-eyed junco). RNAcentral's name for it is "lncRNA (ENSJHYG00000018007.1)". The record is from RNAcentral. Lineage: Eukaryota; Metazoa; Chordata; Aves; Passeriformes; Passerellidae.
GUUCAGUUUUCUUUAAUGCCCAGCACCUGAGAUGACAUGACAGCAGGCUCUGGAUGCUACGAGAUUCAAGUCAAGAUUUUGAGAGUGAGGAACUGGCUUCCAAUGUUAGAUUGCAAAAUCCACUCCACUAGCACCUGCCAGAGCUGCUCCAGGAGCAUGUUCUCUGCUGUACCUCUUCCAAGAUGGCUCAGAGAUCUCAGAUUUCACAUAUUUCAGAUUCAGUAGAAAGGAGCUCAAACUCCAUCUCCUAAUCUGCAUGCCAUCAGUACAGGGUGUGGAAUCUGGGGGUUCCUGCAGCACAGUGAUGCUACAACUUCCUUGAUCCAUCCUGGUGUCCUGUGUGCUUACAGAUGUAUCUAUAGAACCCUGUAGAGUCACAGGCUGCAGGUAGCAGGGUGCUGAAAUUGUCUCUCAUAAAGAAAUGGAUUACCAGCGUCUGCAGACGUGCUGAACCAGCGACUGCUCGGGUCCUGCAGUCUGAGGAAGGAGCUUCCACCUAGUCUGGCCACAGGGGAGCAUCAAACCUGCCUCCAGAAUGGGAAUGUGCAACCAGCUGCCCUGCUGUACCCAAGCAAAUGAAUGAAAAGGGCACGAGUGAGCAUGCUGCAUUUUCUCCCUGGUCUGGAAGCACUGUCAUCACAGAGGUCUCCCCUCCAGUGCUUUCAGAUUGUUUGGUCCUGACAGGAUUCGGUCUGGAGCUGUCACCAGUUUGUUCAGCAGAGUCCAUUAGGGCAGAUAUCUUCAGCUCUGCUACAUGGAUCUUAUUUUCCAGCUGUCAUCUUGUAUGAAAAUGAAAUUUCUGUGGUAACCAGAUCAGUCAGAAUUGAUAAAUUCUUCCCACUUCAUGAGAAAACCUGUAUGUAUUUAAAACAGUGGAAAAACCUUUCCAUAGGGAAGGUGUGUGGAAGCAGAGCCCUGCAUCACCUCCUCCAUGUCUCCUGAGAAGGGGACCCACGUCUCCAUGGGUUCUGUGAAAUUUGCAUCAAGACUUAAUUAUAAUAAAUAAUAAAUACAAAG